AUUCUGAAGUCGCCCAAACAAUAAAAUGCAAAAUGGCUCCAUAGCGCCCCCUAAGGUGAAAAAUUCACAUGAUUGAGUGUCACGCCUGUACGCUUUGUCAAAAUGACACAAAAUUUGACACACACGUGUAUCUCAAUAAGAUCUACAAAAAAGUCAGUGCGGGCGUAUCUGUCAAAUGUACGGUUAAAGGUUUAUUUCGCAUUUUUUGCCGAUCCGCAUACAUUGGAAUUUCGCUAACUCCUCCGAAGGUUUUCGUUCCACCGGCACCACAUUUGCUCAGGCCAAUCUACACCCCAUGGCCAAUAAAAGUUGUACAAAUCAUGACGCUGCACCCCACGGUUUACGUUCUAGGGGGCGCCAAAGAUAACCCAAAAAUCCACAGUCUUAAAAGUCUUAUAACUUUUUAUUUUUGUCCUCACUGGCCUCCAAGUUCUCUAGGAUGAUGCAAUGUCCAGCCAUCAACACAUUUGUGAAGGAAUUUUUACUCGCCAAAAGAGCGCCCCCCCAUGGCAGGAGAAAAAUGUCAAUUUUUUCUUGUCUCCUAAGGCGAAAAUACACAUCGUUGACUGUCACGCCUUUACGCUUUGUCAAAAUGACACAAAAUUUGACACACACAUGUAUCUCAAUAAGAUCUACAAAAAAGUCAGUGCGGGCGUAUCUGUCAAAUGUACGGUUAAAGGGUUAUUUCGCAUUUUUUGCCGAUCCGCACACAUUGGAAUUUCGCUAACUCCUCCGAAGGCUUUCGUUCCAACGGCACCACAUUUGCUCAGGCCAAUCUACACCCCAUGGCCAUUAAAAGUUGUACAAAUCAUGACGCUGCACCCCACGGUUUACGUUCUAGGGGGCGCCAAAGAUAACCCAAAAAUCCACAGUCUUAAAAGUCUUAUAACUUUUUAUUUUUGUCCUCACUGGCCUCCAAGUUCUCUAGGAUGAUGCAAUGUCCAGCCAUCAACACAUUUGUGAAGGAAUUUUUACUCGCCAAAAGAGCGCCCCCCAUGGCAGGAGAAAAAAGUCCAUUUUUUCUUGUCUCCUAAGGCGAAAAUACACAUUGUUGACUGUCACGCCUUUACGCUUUGUCAAAAUGACACAAAAUUUGACACACACAUGUAUCUCAAUAAGAUCUACGAAAAAGUCAAUGCGAGCGUAUCUGUUCAAUGUACGGUUAAAGGGCUAUUUCGCAUUUUUUGCCGAUUCGCACACAUUGGAAUGUGGCUAACUCCUCCUAAAGCUUUUGUCCCAUCGGCUUCAAAUUUGCUCAGGUCAAUCUACACCCCAUGGCCAUUCAAAGUUGUACAAAUCAUGACGCUGCACCCCACGGUUUACGUUCUAGGGGGUGCCAAAGAGGACCCAAAUAUCCACAUUUUUAAAAGUCUUAUAACUUUUUAUUUUUGUCCUCACUGGCCUCCAAGUUUUCUAGGAUGAUGCAAUGUCCAGCCAUCAACACAUUUGUGAAGGAAUUUUUUCUCCCCAAAAGAGCGCCCCCCCAUGGCAGGAGAAAAAGUCAAGUUUUUCCUGCCCAUCGCUCAAUGGCUCAAAAGCAUCGCUCUCUCGGCAAAACCGAAAGGAGGAGCAACUUGCCAUUUGGAUAUAUACUAGCUGUGUUUGUGCCCUCACUCAUGGUCCAGACUUUUUUCAAAAAGGACAUGGAGUUUGUCUGCAGCGAGCGUUUUGGUAGAAACUGCGCCUCCCAUUCAUUAUAAUGGUAAAUGACCACAGACAAGUGCGCACACCAUCUUUGGACCUUGAGUGUGACGCGAUCAAGAGGGGUAGGCGGUCGCGCUGGGGGCGGCGCGACACGGCUCGGGCCCGCCAGUGCCCCAACGGGGCCCUAGUUUGUUAUUAUUAUUAUUUUUCCUCCGCUUUAAACUGGAAAAUGGCCGACUUCCCACUGGCGAAAACUCAUGAAAUUUGGCAGGACGACCGGGCCUGGUGAAAAAUUCGAUAUUCUGAAGUCGCCCAAACAAUAAAAUGCAAAAUGGCUCCAUAGCGCCCCCUAAGGCGAAAAUUCACACUAUUGACUGUCACGCCUGUACGCUUUGUCAUAUUGACACAAAAAUUGACACACACGUGUAUCUCAAUACGUUCUACGAAAAAGUCAGCGCGGGCGCAUCUGUGAAAUGUACAGUUAGAGGGUUAUUUCGCAUUUUUUGCCGAUCUGCACACAUUGGAAUUUCGCUAACUCCUCCGAAGGCAUUCGUUCCACCGGCACCACAUUUGCUCAGGCCAAUCUACACCCCAUGGCCAUUAAAAGUUGUACAAAUCAUUACGCUGCACCCCACAGUUUACGUUCUAGGGGGCGCCAAAGAUAACCCAAAAAUCCACAUAUUUAAAAGUCUUAUAACUUUUUAUUUUUGUCCUCACUGGCCUCCAAGUUUUCUAGGAUGAUGCAAUGUCCAGCCAUCAACACAUUUGUGAAGGAAUUUUUACUCCCCAAAAGAGCGCCCCCACAUGGCAGGAGAAAAAAGUCCAUUUUUUCUUGUCCCCUAAGGUGAAAAUACACAUUGUUGAGUGUCACGCCUAUACGCUUUGUCAUAUUGACCCAAAAUUUGACAAUCACGUGUAUCUCAAUAAGAUCUACGAAAAAGUCAAUGGGCACGUAUCUGUAAAAUGUAUGGUUAAAGGGCUAUUUCGCAUUUUUUGCAGAUUCGCACACAUUGGAAUGUGGCUAACUCCUCCUAAGGCUUUCUUCCCACCGACACCAAAUUUGCUCAAGCCGAUCUACAUCCCAUGGCCAUUCAAAGUUGUAAAAAUCAUGCCGCUGCACCCCAUGGUUUACGUUCUAGGGGGCGCCAAAGAUGACCCAAAUAUCCACAUUCUUAAAAGUCGUUUUGGCCACUGCAGGAGUACAGAGUACUGCAGGAUACACACACACAGACACACACAAACACAGACACACACACACACACACACACACACACACACACACACACACACACACACACACACACACACACACACACUCAGAGUCUGUUUUUUAGCACCUGCAAAAACAUGCUAUUUACAUAUUUGACAACAAUGCAGAGGCUCCUUUUGCCCCUGAAAAAAAUCAAAUUUCAAACACAACUUGACUGGUCAUUUCUCCAAAAGACAACCAUGAAGCUCCAUCCAAACCUGAAGCAGGCAGUUGGUGCAUGUGUACAGUUACCUGAGGGGAGUGAGGUGAGUGCUUCUGAGGAGAACAUGAGCAGUGAAGAUUCACCUUGGAGCGAGAACAGGGACGUGCACAUGAUUAUACAGGGGCAGGGGCUCAAGUUUUUUCCAGUCGUUUAUACAAUAUGGAAAUUAAUGUGAAAUUAAAAAACAAAGUAUUAAUAGAAAGGUAAUGACUGUCCUGUGUAGGUGACAGUGAUAUCCAAUAGGCUAGGCACUCACGAGGCUGGCUGUGGCAAGUGUAAGUGAAAGCAACACGCACUGGCAGGAAGAGCAGCAAACGCCGAUGAAGGAAAAGGGUCUUUGCAGUGAUGGGCGUUACCAGAGAGGACGAUGGCCAGAGGACGCGAAUGGGACGGGGAGGAAGCGCAUUGGUGGGGGGGGGGGGGGCGCGACACAGCUCGGGCCCACCAGUGCCCCAACGGGGCCCUAGUCUUCUUCUUCUUCUUCUUAUUAGGGCCCGAGCCAGCUGCAGAGCAGCCGGGCGUAGAGCCCUAUUAUUCCUGUAUAGGUUUUUCUUUCUUCUUUCUUUCUUUCUUUCUUUCUUUCUUCUUAUUUUUCCUCCCCUUUGAAGGGGAAAAUGGCCCACUUCCCACUGGCGAAAACUCAGGAAAUUUGGCAGGACGACCGGGCCUGGUGAAAAAUUCGAUAUUCUGAAGUCGCCCAAACAAUAAAAUGCAAAAUGGCUCCAUAGCGCCCCCUAAGGCGAAAAUUCACACUAUUGACUGUCACGCCUGUACGCUUUGUCAUUUUGACACAAAAAUUGACACACACGUGUAUCUCAAUACGGUCUACGAAAAAGUCAGUGCGGGCGCAUCUGUGAAAUGUACGGUUAGAGGGUUAUUUCGCAUUUUUUCCCGAUCCGCACACAUUGGAAUUUCGCUAACUCCUCCGAAGGCUUUAGUUCCACCGCCACCAAAUUUGCUCAGGCCAAUCUACACCCCAUGGCCAUUAAAAGUUGUACAAAUCAUGACGCUGCACUCCACGGUUUACGUUCUAGGGGGCGCCAAAGAUAACCCAAAAAUCCACAUUCUUAAUAGUCUUAUAACUUUUUAUUUUUGUCCUCACUGGCCUCCAAGUUUUCUAGGAUGAUGCAAUGUCCAGCCAUCAACACAUUUGUAAAGGAAUUUUUACUCCCGAAAAGGGCGCCCCCCAUGGCAGGAGAAAAAAGUCAAUUUUUUCUUGUCCCCUAAGGUGAAAAAACACAUUGUUGACUGUCACGCCUAUACGCUUUGUCAAAAUGACACAAAAUUUGACACACACGUGUAUCUCAAUAAGAUCUACGAAAAAGUCAAUGGGCACGUAUCUGUAAAAUGUACGGUUAAAGGGCUAUUUCGCAUUUUUUGCCGAUUCGCACACAUUGGAAUGUGGCUAACUCCUCCUAAGGCUUUCUUCCCACCGACACCAAAUUUGCUCAAGCCGAUCUACAUCCCAUGGCCAUUCAAAGUUGUAAAAAUCAUGCCGCUGCACCCCAUGGUUUACGUUCUAGGGGGCGCCAAAGAUGACCCAAAUAUCCACAUUCUUAAAAGAAUCCACAUCCCCCCCCCCCCCAAGGCAGGAGAAAAAGUCCAGUUAACCCUGCCCAUCGCUCAAUGGCUCAAUCGCAUCGCUCUCCCGGCAACACCGUAAGGAGGAGCAACUUGCCAUUUGGAUAUAUCCUAGCUGUGUUUGUGCCCUCACUCAUGGUCCAGACUUUUUUCAAAUAGGACAUGUAGUUUGUCUGCAGCGGCCGUUUUGGUAGAAACUGCGCCUCCCAUUCAUUAUAAUGGGAAAUGACCACAGACAAGUGCGCACACCAUCUUUGGACCUUGAGUGUGAUGCAAUCGGGAGGGGGAGGCGGUCGCGCUGGGGGCGGCGCGACGCGGCUCGGGCCCGACAGUGCCCCACCGGGGCCCUAGUUUGUUAUUAUUAUUAUUAUUUUUCCUCCGCUUUAAACUGGAAAAUGGCCCACUUCCCACUGGCGAAAACUCAUGAAAUUUGGCAGGACGACCGGGCCUGGUGAAAAAUUCGAUAUUCUGAAGUCGCCCAAACAAUAAAAUGCAAAAUGGCUCCAUAGCGCCCCCUAAGGCGAAAAUUCACACUAUUGACUGUCACGCCUGUACGCUUUGUCAUAUUGACACAAAAAUUGACACACACGUGUAUCUCAAUACGUUCUACGAAAAAGUCAGCGCGGGCGCAUCUGUGAAAUGUACAGUUAGAGGGUUAUUUCGCAUUUUUUGCCGAUCUGCACACAUUGGAAUUUCGCUAACUCCUCCGAAGGCAUUCGUUCCACCGGCACCACAUUUGCUCAGGCCAAUCUACACCCCAUGGCCAUUAAAAGUUGUACAAAUCAUGACACUGCACCCCACAGUUUACGUUCUAGGGGGCGCCAAAGAUAACCCAAAAAUCCACAGUCUUAAAAGUCUUAUAACUUUUUAUUUUUGUCCUCACUGGCCUCCAAGUUCUCUAGGAUGAUGCAAUGUCCAGCCAUCAACACAUUUGUGAAGGAAUUUUUACUCCCCAAAAGAGCGCCCCCACAUGGCAGGAGAAAAAAGUCAAUUUUUUCUUGUCCCCUAAGGUGAAAAUACACAUUGUUGAGUGUCACGCCUAUACGCUUUGUCAUAUUGACCCAAAAUUUGACAAUCACGUGUAUCUCAAUAAGAUCUACGAAAAAGUCAAUGGGCACGUAUCUGUAAAAUGUACGGUUAAAGGGCUAUUUCGCAUUUUUUGCAGAUUCGCACACAUUGGAAUGUGGCUAACUCCUCCUAAGGCUUUCUUCCCACCGACACCAAAUUUGCUCAAGCCGAUCUACAUCCCAUGGCCAUUCAAAGUUGUAAAAAUCAUGCCGCUGCACCCCAUGGUUUACGUUCUAGGGGGCGCCAAAGAUGACCCAAAUAUCCACAUUCUUAAAAGUCGUUUUGGCCACUGCAGGAGUACAGAGUACUGCAGGAUACACACACACAGACACACACAAACACAGACACACACACACACGCACACACACACACACACACACACACACACACACACACACACACACUCAGAGUCUGUUUUUUAGCACCUGCAAAAACAUGCUAUUUACAUAUUUGACAACAAUGCAGAGGCUCCUUUUGCCCCUGAAAAAAAUCAAAUUUCAAACACAACUUGACUGGUCAUUUCUCCAAAAGACAACCAUGAAGCUCCAUCCAAACCUGAAGCAGGCAGUUGGUGCAUGUGUACAGUUACCUGAGGGGAGUGAGGUGAGUGCUUCUGAGGAGAACAUGAGCAGUGAAGAUUCACCUUGGAGCGAGAACAGGGACGUGCACAUGAUUAUACAGGGGCAGGGGCUCAAGUUUUUUCCAGUCGUUUAUACAAUAUGGAAAUUAAUGUGAAAUUAAAAAACAAAGUAUUAAUAGAAAGGUAAUGACUGUCCUGUGUAGGUGACAGUGAUAUCCAAUAGGCUAGGCACUCACGAGGCUGGCUGUGGCAAGUGUAAGUGAAAGCAACACGCACUGGCAGGAAGAGCAGCAAACGCCGAUGAAGGAAAAGGGUCUUUGCAGUGAUGGGCGUUACCAGAGAGGACGAUGGCCAGAGGACGCGAAUGGGACGGGGAGGCAGCGCAUUGGUGGGGGGGGGGGGGGGGCGCGACACAGCUCGGGCCCGCCAGUGCCCCAACGGGGCCCUAGUUAUUAUUUUUCCUCCCCUUUGAACUGGAAAAUGGCCCACUUCCCACUGGCGAAAACUCAUGAAAUUUGGCAGGACGACCGGGCCUGGUGAAAAAUUUGAUAUUCCGAAGUCGCCCAAACAAGAAAAUGCAAAAUGGCUCCAUAGCGCCCCCUAAGGUGAAAAUUCACACUAUUCACUGUCACGCCUGUACGCUUUGUCAAAAUGACACAAAAAUUGACACACACAUGUAUCUCAAUAAGAUCUACAAAAAAGUCAGUGCGGGCGUAUCUGUCAAAUGUACGGUUAAAGGGUUAUUUCGCAUUUUUUGCCGAUCCGCACACAUUGGAAUUUCGCUAACUCCUCCGAAGGCUUUCGUUCCACCGGCACCACAUUUGCUCAGGCCAAUCUACACCCCAUGGCCAUUAAAAGUUAUUCAAAUCAUGACGCUGCACCCCACGGUUUAGGUUCUAGGGGGCGCCAAAGAUAACCCUAAGAUCCACAUAUUUAAAAGUCUUAUAACUUUUUAUUUUUGCCCUCACUGGCCUCCAAGUUUUCUAGGAUGAUGCAAUGUCCAGCCAUCAACACAUUUGUGAAGGAAUUUUUACUCCCCAAAAGAGCGCCCCCCCAUGGCAGGAGAAAAAAGUCCAUUUUUUCUUGUCCCCUAAGGUGAAAAUACACAUUGUUGAGUGUAACACCUGUACGCUUUGGCAAAAUGACACAAAAAUUGACACACACAUGUAUCUCAAUAAGAUCUACGAAAAAGUCAAUGCGCGCGUAUCUGUCAAAUGUACGGUUAAAGGGUUAUUCCGCAUUUUUUGCCGAUUCGCACACAUUGGAAUUUCGCUAACUCCUCCGAAGGCUUUCGUUCCACCGGCACCACAUUUGCUCAGGCCAAUCUACACCCCAUGGCCAUUAAAAGUUAUUCAAAUCAUGACGCUGCACCCCACGGUUUACGUUCUAGGGGGCGCCAAAGAUAACCCUAAAAUCCACAUAUUUAAAAGUCUUAUAACUUUUUAUUUUUGUCCCCACUGGCCUCCAAGUUUUCUAGGAUGAUGCAAUGUCCAGCCAUCAACACAUUUGUGAAGGAAUUUUUACUCGGCAAAAGAGCGCCCCCCCAUGGCAGGAGAAAAAAGUCAAUUUUUUCUUGUCCACUAAGGUGAAAAUACACAUUGUUGAGUGCUACGCCUGUAUGUUUUGUCGUAUUGACACAAAAUUUUAAAUACACGUGUAUUUCAAUAAGAUCUUCGAAAAAGUCAAUGGCCACGUAUCUGUAAAAUGUACAGUUAAAGGGUUAUUUCGCAUUUUUUGCAGAUUCGCACACAUUGGAAUUUCGCUAAUUCCUCCGAAGGCUUUCGUUCCACCGGCACCACAUUUGCUCAGGCCAAUCUACACCCCAUGGCCAUUAAAAGUUAUUCAAAUCAUGACGCUGCACCCCACGGUUUAGGUUCUAGGGGGCGCCAAAUAUAACCCUAAAAUCCACAUAUUUAAAAGUCUUAUAACUUUUUAUUUUUGUCCUCACUGGCCUCCAUGUUUUCUAGGAUGAUGCAAUGUCCAGCCAUCAACACAUUUGUGAAGGAGUUUUUUCUCUUUAAAAGAGCGCCCCCCAUGGCAGGAGAAUAAAGUCAAGUUUUUCCUGUUCAUCAUUCAAUGGCUCAAACGCACUGCUCUCUCGGCAAAAGCGAAAGGAGGAGCAACUUGCCAUUUGGAUAUAUCUUAGCUGUGUUUGUGCCCUCACUCAUGGUCCAGACUUUUUUCAAAUAGGACAUGGAGUUUUUCUGCAGCGAGCGUUUUGGUAGAAACUGCGCCUCCCGUUCAUUAUAAUGGUAAAUGACCACAAACAAGUGCGCACACCAUCUUUGGACCUUGAGUGUGACGCGAUCGGGUGGGGGAGGCGGUCGCGCUGGGGGCGGCGUGACACGGCUCGGGCCCGCCAGUGCCCCAACGGGGCCCUAGUUAUUAUUUUUCCUCCCCUUUGAACUGGAAAAUGGCCCACUUCCCACUGGUGAAAACUCAUGAAAUUUGGCAGGACGACCGGGCCUGGUGAAAAAUUUGAUAUUCCGAAGUCGCCCAAACAAGAAAAUGCAAAAUGGCUCCAUAGCGCCCCCUAAGGUGAAAAUUCACACUAUUGACUGUCACACGUGUACGCUUUGUCAAAAUGACACAAAAAUUGACACACACAUGUAUCUCAAUAAGAUCUACAAAAAAGUCAGUGUGGGCGUAUCUGUCAAAUGUACGGUUAAAGGGUUAUUUCGCAUUUUUUGCCGAUCCGCACACAUUGGAAUUUCGCUAACUCCCCCGAAGGCUUUCGUUCCACCGGCACCACAUUUGCUCAGGCCAAUCUACACCCCAUGGCCAUUAAAAGUUAUUCAAAUCAUGACGCUGCACCCCACGGUUUAGGUUCUAGGGGGCGCCAAAGAUAACCCUAAGAUCCACAUAUUUAAAAGUCUUAUAACUUUUUAUUUUUGCCCUCACUGGCCUCCAAGUUUUCUAGGAUGAUGCAAUGUCCAGCCAUCAACACAUUUGUGAAGGAAUUUUUACUCCCCAAAAGAGCGCCCCCCCAUGGCAGGAGAAAAAAGUCCAUUUUUUCUUGUCCCCUAAGGUGAAAAUACACAUUGUUGAGUGUAACACCUGUACGCUUUGGCAAAAUGACAAAAAUUGACACACACAUGUAUCUCAAUAAGAUCUACGAAAAAGUCAAUGCGCGCGUAUCUGUCAAAUGUACGGUUAAAGGGUUAUUCCGCAUUUUUUGCCGAUUCGCACACAUUGGAAUUUCGCUAACUCCUCCGAAGGCUUUCGUUCCACCGGCACCACAUUUGCUCAGGCCAAUCUACACCCCAUGGCCAUUAAAAGUUAUUCAAAUCAUGACGCUGCACCCCACGGUUUAGGUUCUAGGGGGCGCCAAAGAUAACCCUAAAAUCCACAUAUUUAAAAGUCUUAUAACUUUUUAUUUUUGUCCUCACUGGCCUCCAAGUUUUCUAGGAUGAUGCAAUGUCCAGCCAUCAACACAUUUGUGAAGGAAUUUUUACUCCCCAAAAGAGCGCCCCCCAUGGCAGGAGAAAAAAGUCCAUUUUUUCUUGUCCCCUAAGAUGAAAAUACAUAUUGUUGAGAUUCACGCCUAUACGCUUUGUCAUAUUGACACAAAAUUUGACAAUCACGUGCCUUGCCUGGUAUCAUUUUUUUCAGCACAACCUCACCUGUGCGAAUUUACAGUUAUUUUAUCAUGUUGACAUACUGAAUUUACACAAUGGACCCAAAUUCACACACAAAACAUAAAAUCCGAGUGGAAAAAAGUAACAUUUUUACUGUGAAAACCACAAAUAUGUGUGAUGAACUGUUUUUAAAACUUAAACUUCAAAUAAAAAUUGUAAACUUCAAAACAUAUGCAAAUUUUUAACAAAGAACAUAGUGAUUUACCUCUAUUUACAUCAAAAUGCAGGCAAUGGCCCAGGCAUUCUUUGUAAAAUUAUUUACAAAACACUGUAUAGUCUCACAAAUGUCACUUUUUAUUUAUGCCACUACAAAAAAACAUGAUGUAAAUGAUGCAUGAUGUAAAACAUGAUGUAAAAAACUUGUGUAGAUCCUCCUCUAUGUCAGUCCAUGUGUAAUUUUUCCAUAAUUCUUUGUUUUUUGCAGCAUUUUUGUUAGUGUAACUGCAGAUUGUGCUGACAGUGUCUAUGGCACAAAAAAAAAAAAAAAUUAAAAUGCCUCAACAUGAACCCCUGGUGGUCUCUGAGGGUGAAACCUGCUAACUGCUGCAGCUCUGUCAGCUUCAGUCUCCCAUGCAGAGCUCUGAGCGCAUGUGUGGCUCUGCACCCUUAGCAGCGUUGCUAACUCCUCAGUAAGGAAAGCCUGCUUCAUGUCAGAGUCUCUAAACUCCAGAAGAAGUCGAUAAAAGUCCCUUUCUUUCUAAAAAAAAGUCGUUAGGGGGUCUGAAAAGUCAUUGAAUCUAACAACAAAGUCGCUAGGUUUGCAACUACGUGUCCCAGACUGCAUCCCUGCUGAGAGUCCCUCCCUCCCUUCUCAUGUUGCAGGAAGAACGUAAGCGCCCGCCCCUUGUCAAUCAGUCACCAUAUAAUUUUGGAUUGGUUGUUGUGGUGAAGUUUUCCACCAAUAGGAGAGAUGUUGUGGUGUGUUUUUUUUUUCUUUUGGCAAGCCUUUUCCGCCUGUAAGACCUGUCGCUAAUGUCUGCAUGCUAUGUUUUCCUGUCUCAUACAGCGCGAUCGAGCGCCGAACGUGAUCAAAAUAAGCAGAAAAAAAGUAUCGCGGACAUAAUUUAUCAUAACUCUGGUUUUAUUUGGCCUAUCAACACAAUUUAAAAACUGGUAUAUAGGUUGAGGUCCUCACUUUUGAGAUAAGUUGAAACGGAGAGUCAACGAGGCUCCGUCUUGCAGCUACAUCCGGUUAAAUAUGUCAUGUGACUUGAACGCACACACAGACACACACACACGCACACACACACACACACACACACACUCAGAGUCUGGUUUUUAGCACCUGCAAAAACAUGCUAUUUACAUAUUUGACAAGAAUGCAGAGGCUCCUUUUGCCCCUGAAAAAAAUCAAAUUUCAAACACAACUUGACUGGUCAUUUCUCCAAAAGACAACCAUGAAGCUCCAUCCAAACCUGAAGCAGGCAGUUGGUGCAUGUGUACAGUAACCUGAGGGGAGUGAGGUGAGUGCUUCUGAGGAGAACAUGAGCAGUGAAGAUUCACCUUGGAGCUAGAACAGAGACAUGCACAUGAUUAUACAGGGGCAGGGGCUCAAGUUUUUUCCAGUCGUUUAUACAAUAUGGAAAUUAAUGUGAAAUUAAAACACAAAGUAUUAAUAGAAAGGUAAUGACUGUCCUGUGUAGGUGACAGUGAUAUCGAAUAGGCUAGGCACUCACGAGGCUGGCUGUGGCAAGUGUAAGUGAAAGCAACACGCACUGGCAGGAAGAACAGCAAACGCCGAUGAAGGAAAAGGGACUUUGCAGUGAUGGGCGUUACCAGAGAGGGCGAUGGCCAGAGGACACAAAUGGGACGGGGAGGCAGCACGUGGGGGGGGGGGCGACAUGGCUCGGGCCCGCCAGUGCCCCAACGGGGUCCUAGUCUUUGUUUCUUUCUUUCUUUUUAGGGCCCGAGCGUAGCUGCUAAGCAGCUGCGAGAGCCCUCUUGUUCCUGUAGUUUCCUUCUUUUUAGGGCCCGAGCGUAGCUGCUAAGCAGCUGCGAGAGCCCUCUUGUUCCUGUAGUUUCCUUCUUUUGUUAUUAUUAUUAUUAUUAUUUUUCCUCCCCUUUGAACUGGAAAAUGGCCCACUUCCCACUGGCGAAAACUCAUGAAAUUUGGCAGGACGACCGGGCCUGGUGAAAAAUUUGAUAUUCCGAAGUCGCCCAAACAAGAAAAUGCAAAAUGGCUCCAUAGCGCCCCCUAAGGUGAAAAUUCACACUAUUGACUGUCACGCCGGUACGCUUUGUCAAAAUGACACAAAAAUUGACACACACAUGUAUCUCAAUAAGAUCUACAAAAAAGUCAGUGCGGGCGUAUCUGUCAAAUGUACGGUUAAAGGGUUAUUUCGCAUUUUUUGCCGAUCCGCACACAUUGGAAUUUCGCUAACUCCUCCGAAGGCUUCCUUUUCACCGGCACCACAUUUGCUCAGGCCAAUCUACACCCCAUGGCCAUUAAAAGUUAUUCAAAUCAUGACGCUGCACCCCACGGUUUAGGUUCUAGGGGGCGCCAAAGAUAACCCUAAGAUCCACAUAUUUAAAAGUCUUAUAACUUUUUAUUUUUGCCCUCACUGGCCUCCAAGUUUUCUAGGAUGAUGCAAUGUCCAGCCAUCAACACAUUUGUGAAGGAAUUUUUACUCCCCAAAAGAGCGCCCCCCCAUGGCAGGAGAAAAAAGUCCAUUUUUUCUUGUCCCAUAAGGUGAAAAUUCACACUAUUGACUGUCACGCCUGUACGCUUUGUCAAAAUUACACAAAAAUUGACACACACAUGUAUCUCAAUAAGAUCUACAAAAAAGUCAGUGCGGGCGUAUCUGUCAAAUGUACGGUUAAAGGGUUAUUGCGCAUUUUUUGCCGAUCCGCACACAUUGGAAUUUCGCUAACUCCUCCGAAGGCUUUCGUUCCACCGGCACCACAUUUGCUCAGGCCAAUCUACACCCCAUGGCCAUUAAAAGUUAUUCAAAUCAUGACGCUGCACCCCACGGUUUAGGUUCUAGGGGGCGCCAAAGAUAACCCUAAAAUCCACAUAUUUAAAAGUCUUAUAACUUUUUAUUUUUGUCCUCUCUGGCCUCCAAGUUUUCUAGGAUGAUGCAAUGUCCAGCCAUCAACACAUUUGUGAAGGAAUUUUUACUCCCCAAAAGAGCGCCCCCCCAUGGCAGGAGAAAAAAGUCCAUUUUUUCUUGUCCCAUAAGGUGAAAAUACACAUUGUUGACUGUCAUACCUGUAUGCUUUGUCAUAUUGACACAAAAUUUGACACACACAUGUAUCUCAAUAAGAUCUACGAAAAAGUCAAUGCGCGCGUAUCUGUAAAAUGUACGGUUAAAGGGCUAUUUUGCAUUUUUUGCCGAUUAGCACACAUUGGAAUGUGGCUAACUCCUCCUAAGGCUUUCGUCCCACUGACAGCAAAUUUGCUCAGGCCAAUCUACACCCCAUGGCCAUUCAAAGUUGUAAAAAUCAUGACGCUGCACCCCACGGUUUACGUUCUAGGGGGCGCCAAAGAUGACCCAAAUAUCCACAUUCUUAAAAGAAUCCACCCCCCCCAUCCCCCAUCCCCCAUCCCCCAUCCCCCAUGGCAGGAGAAACAGUCAAGUUUUUCCUGCCCAUCACUCAAUGGCUCAAUCGCAUCGCUCUCCCUGCAACACCGUAACGAGGAGCAACUUGCCGUUUGGAUAUAUCCUAGCUGUGUUUGUGCCCUCACUCAUGGUCCAGACUUUUUUCAAAUAGGACAUGUAGUUUGUCUGCAGCGAGUGUUUUGGUAGAAACUGCGCCUCCCAUUCAUUAUAAUGGGAAAUGACCACAGACAAGUGCGCACACCAUCUUUGGACCUUGAGUGUGACGCGAUCGGGAGGGGGAGGCGGUCGCACUGGGGUCGGCGCAACGCGGCUCGGGCCCGCCAGUGCCCCAACGGGGCCCUAGUGUUAUUAGGGCCCGAGCGUAGCUGCUAAGCAGCUGCGAGAGCCCUCUUGUUCCUGUAGUUUCCUUCUUUUGUUAUUAUUAUUAUUAUUUUUCCUCCCCUUUGAACUGGAAAAUGGCCCACUUCCCACUGGCGAAAACUCAUGAAAUUUGGCAGGACGACCGGGCCUGGUGAAAAAUUUGAUAUUCCGAAGUCGCCCAAACAAGAAAAUGCAAAAUGGCUCCAUAGCGCCCCCUAAGGUGAAAAUUCACACUAUUCACUGUCACGCCGGUACGCUUUGUCAAAAUGACACAAAAAUUGACACACACAUGUAUCUCAAUAAGAUCUACAAAAAAGUCAGUGCGGGCGUAUCUGUCAAAUGUACGGUUAAAGGGUUAUUUCGCAUUUUUUGCCGAUCCGCACACAUUGGAAUUUCGCUAACUCCUCCGAAGGCUUUCGUUCCACCGGCACCACAUUUGCUCAGGCCAAUCUACACCCCAUGGCCAUUAAAAGUUAUUCAAAUCAUGACGCUGCACCCCACGGUUUAGGUUCUAGGGGGCGCCAAAGAUAACCCUAAGAUCCACAUAUUUAAAAGUCUUAUAACUUUUUAUUUUUGCCCUCACUGGCCUCCAAGUUUUCUAGGAUGAUGCAAUGUCCAGCCAUCAACACAUUUGUGAAGGAAUUUUUACUCCCCAAAAGAGCGCCCCCCCAUGGCAGGAGAAAAAAGUCCAUUUUUUCUUGUCCCCUAAGGUGAAAAUACACAUUGUUGAGUGUAACACCUGUACGCUUUGGCAAAAUGACACAAAAAUUGACACACACAUGUAUCUCAAUAAGAUCUUCGAAAAAGUCAAUGGCCACGUAUCUGUAAAAUGUACGGUUAAAGGGUUAUUUCGCAUUUUUUGCAGAUUCGCACACAUUGGAAUUUGGCUAACUCCUCCUAAGGCUUUCGUCCCACUGACACCAAAUUUGCUCAGGCCAAUCUACACCCCAUGGCCAUUCAAAGUUGUAAAAAUCAUGACGCUGCACCCCACGGUUUACGUUCUAGGGGGCGCCAAAGAUGACCCAAAAAUCCACAUUCUUAAAAGAAUCCACAUCCCCCCUAUGGCAGGAGAAAAAGUCAAGUUUUUCCUGCCCAUCGCUCAAUGGCUCAAUCGCAUCGCUCUCCAGGCAACACCGUAAGGAGGAGCAACCUGGCAUUUCGAUAUAUCAUAGCUGUGUUUGUGCCCUCACUCAUGGUCCAGACUUUUUUCAAAUAGGACAUGAAGUUUGUCUGCAGCGAGUGUUUUGGUAGAAACUGCGCCUCCCAUUCAUUAUAAUGGGAAAUGACCACAGACAAGUGCGCACACCAUCUUUGGUUCUUGAGUGUGACUCGAUCGGGACGGGGAGGCGGUCGCACUGGGGGCGGCGCGACGCGGCUCGGGCCCGACAGUGCCCCACCGGGGCCCUAGUUAUUAUUUUUCCUCCCCUUUGAACUGGAAAAUGGCCCACUUCCCACUGGCGAAAACUCAUGAAAUUUGGCAGGACGACCGGGCCUGGUGAAAAAUUUGAUAUUCCGAAGUCGCCCAAACAAGAAAAUGCAAAAUGGCUCCAUAGCGCCCCCUAAGGUGAAAAUUCACACUAUUGACUGUCACGCCUGUACGCUUUGUCAAAAUGACACAAAAAUUGACACACACAUGUAUCUCAAUAAGAUCUACAAAAAAGUCAGUGCGGGCGUAUCUGUCAAAUGUACGGUUAAAGGGUUAUUUUGCAUUUUUUGCCGAUCCGCACACAUUGGAAUUUCGCUAACUCCUCCAAAGGCUUUCGUUCCACCGGCACCACAUUUGCUCAGGCCAAUCUACACCCCAUGGCCAUUAAAAGUUAUUCAAAUCAUGACGCUGCACCCCACGGUUUAGGUUCUAGGGGGCGCCAAAGAUAACCCUAAGAUCCACAUAUUUAAAAGUCUUAUAACUUUUUAUUUUUGCCCUCACUGGCCUCCAAGUUUUCUAGGAUGAUGCAAUGUCCAGCCAUCAACACAUUUGUGAAGGAAUUUUUACUCCCCAAAAGAGCGCCCCCCCAUGGCAGGAGAAAAAAGUCCAUUUUUUCUUGUCCCCUAAGGUGAAAAUACACAUUGUUGAGUGUAACACCUGUACGCUUUGGCAAAAUGACACAAAAAUUGACACACACAUGUAUCUCAAUAAGAUCUACGAAAAAGUCAAUGCGCGCGUAUCUGUCAAAUGUACGGUUAAAGGGUUAUUCCGCAUUUUUUGCCGAUCCGCACACAUUGGAAUUUCGCUAACUCCUCCGAAGGCUUUCGUUCCACCGGCACCACAUUUGCUCAGGCCAAUCUACACCCCAUGGCCAUUAAAAGUUAUUCAAAUCAUGACGCUGCACCCCACGGUUUAGGUUCUAGGGGGCGCCAAAGAUAACCCUAAAAUCCACAUAUUUAAAAGUCUUAUAACUUUUUAUUUUUGUCCUCACUGGCCUCCAAGUUUUCUAGGAUGAUGCAAUGUCCAGCCAUCAACACAUUUGUGAAGGAAUUUUUACUCCCCAAAAGAGCGCCCCCCCAUGGCAGGAGAAAAAAGUCAAUUUUUUCUUGUCCCCUAAGGUGGAAAUUCACACUAUUGACUGUCACGCCUGUACGCUUUAUCAUAUUGACACAAAAUUUGACAAUCACAUGUAUCUCAAUAAGAUCUACAAAAAAGUCAAUGCGCGCGUAUCUGUCAAAUGUACGGUUAAAGGGCUAUUUUGCAUUUUUUGCCGAUUCGCACACAUUGGAAUGUGGCUAACUCCUCCUAAGGCUUUCGUCCCACUGACACCAAAUUUGCUCAGGCCAAUCUACACCCCAUGGUCAUUCAAAGUUGUAAAAAUCAUGACGCUGCACCCCACGCUUUACGUUCUAGGGGGCGCCAAAGAUGACCCAAAUAUCCACAUUCUUAAAAGAAUCCACAUCCCCCCCCCCCCCCAUCCCCCAACCCCCAUGGCAGGAGAAACAGUCAAGUUUUUCCUGCCCAUCACUCAAUGGCUCAAUCGCAUCACUCUCCCGGCAACACCGUAACAAGGAGCAACUUGCCGUUUGGAUAUAUCCUAGCUGUGUUUGUGCCCUCACUCAUGGUCCAGACUUUUUUCAAAUAGGACAUGUAGUUUGUCUGCAGCGAGUGUUUUGGUAGAAACUGCGCCUCCCAUUCAUUAUAAUGGGAAAUGACCACAGACAAGUGAGCACACCAACUUUGGACCUUGAGUGUGACGCGAUCGGGAGGGGGAGGCGGUCGCGCUGGGGGCGGCGCAACGCGGCUCGGGCCCGACAGUGCCCCACCGGGGCCCUAGUUUCUUUUUCCUCCCCUUUGAACUGGAAAAUGGCCCACUUCCCACUGGCGAAAACUCAUGAAAUUUGGCAGGACAACCGGGCCUGGUGAAAAAUUUGAUAUUCCGAAGUCGCCCAAACAAGAAAAUGCAAAAUGGCUCCAUAGCGCCCCCUAAGGUGAAAAUUCACACUAUUGACUGGCACGCCUGUACGCUUUGUCAAAAUGACACAAAAAUUGACACACACAUGUAUCUCAAUAAGAUCUACGAAAAAGUCAGUGCGGGCGUAUCUGUCAAAUGUACGGUUAAAGGGUUAUUUCGCAUUUUUUGCCGAUCCGCACACAUUGGAAUUUCGCUAACUCCUCCGAAGGCUUUCGUUCCACCGGCACCACAUUUGCUCAGGCCAAUCUACACCCCAUGGCCAUUAAAAGUUAUUCAAAUCAUGACGCUGCACCCCACGGUUUAGGUUCUAGGGGGCGCCAAAGAUAACCCUAAAAUCCACAUAUUUAAAAGUCUUAUAACUUUUUAUUUUUGCCCUCACUGGCCUCCAAGUUUUCUAGGAUGAUGCAAUGUCCAGCCAUCAACACAUUUGUGAAGGAAUUUUUACUCCCCAAAAGAGCGCCCCCCCAUGGCAGGAGAAAAAAGUCCAUUUUUUCUUGUCCCCUAAGGUGAAAAUUCACACUAUUGACUGUCACGCCUGUACGCUUUGUCAAAAUGACACAAAAAUUGACACACACAUGUAUCUCAAUAAGAUCUACAAAAAAGUCCAUGUGCGCGUAUCUGUCUAAUGUACGGUUAAAGGGUUAUUUCGCAUUUUUUGCCGAUCUGCACACAUUGGAAUUUCGCUAACUCCUCCGAAGGCUUUCGUUCCACCGGCACCACAUUUGCUCAGGCCAAUCUACACCCCAUGGCCAUUAAAAGUUAUUAAAAUCAUGACGCUGCACCCCACGGUUUACGUUCUAGGGGGCGCCAAAGAUAACCCAAAAAUCCACAUUUUUAAAAGUCUUAUAACUUUUUAUUUUUGUCCUCACUGGCCUCCAAGUUUUCUAGGAUGAUGCAAUGUCCAGCCAUCAACACAUUUGUGAAGGAAUUUUUACUCCCUAAAAGAGCGCCCCCCCAUGGCAGGAGAAAAAAGUCCAUUUUUUCUUGUCCCCUAAGGUGAAAAUACACAUUGUUGACUGUCACGCCUGUACGCUUUGGCAAAAUGACACAAAAAUUGACAAUCAUGUGUAUCUCAAUUAGAUCUACGAAAAAGUCAAAGAGCGCGUAUCUGUAUAAUGUACGGUAAAAGGGCUAUUUUGCAUUUUUUGCCGAUUCGCACACAUUGGAAUUUCGCUAACUCCUCCUAAGGCUUUCGUCCCACUGACACCAAAUUUGCUCAGGCCAAUCUACACUCCAUGGCCAUUCAAAGUUGUAAAAAUCAUGACGCUGCACCCCACGGUUUACGUUUUAGGGGGCGCCAAAGAUGACCCAAAUAUACAUUACAGUAGACAAAGUAGUUUUGCCCACUGAGUGGCGCCAAAGGGACUUGUCUGUGGAGUCUGUGAGUCACUAUUGGCCGUUUUUGACUACUUUAGAUUUUACCUUUAUAUUUCCUCUUACAAAAUUUUUACCUUGCCUUGCCUGGUAUCAUUUUUUUCAGCACAACCUCACCUGUGUCAAUUUACAGUUAUUUUAUCAUUUUGACAUACUAUAUUUACACAUUGGACCCAAAUUCACACACAAAACAUAAAAUCCGAGUGGAAAAAAGUAACGUUUUUACUGUGAAAACCACAAAUAUGUGUGAUGAACUGUUUUUAAAACUUAAACUUCAAAUAAAAAUUGUAAACUUCAAAACAUAUGCAAAUUUUAACAAAGAACAUAGUAAUUUACCUCUAUUGACAUCAAAAUGCAGGCAAUGGCCCAGGUGUUCUUUGUAAAAUUAUUUACAAAACACUGUAUAGUCUCACAAAUGUCACUUUUUAUUUAUGCCACUACAAAAAAACAUGAUGUAAAUGAUGCAUGAUGUAAAACAUGAUGUAAAAAACUUGUGUAGAUCCUCCUCUAUGUUAGUCCAUGUGUAAUUUUUCCAUAAUUCUUUGUUUUUUGCAGCAUUUUUGUUAGUGUAACUGCAGAUUGUGCUGACAGUGUCUAUGGCAAAAAAAAAAAAAAAACUGAAAAUGCCUCAACAUGAACCCCUGGUGGUCUCUGAGGGUGAAACCUGCUAACUGCUGCAGCUCUGUCAGCUUCAGUCUCCCAUGCAGAGCUCUGAGCGCAUGUGUGGCUCUGCACCCUUAGCAGCGUUGCUAACUCCUCAGUAAGGAAAGCCUGCUUCAUGUCAGAGUCUCUAAACUCCAGAAGAAGUCGAUAAAAGUCACUUUCUUUCUAAAAAAAAGUCGUUAGGGGGUCUGAAAAGUCAUUGAAUCUAACAACAAAGUCGCUAGGUUUGCAACUACGUGUCCCAGACUGCAUCCCUGCUGAGAGUCCCUCCCUCCCUUCUCAUAUUGCAGGAAGAACGUAAGUUCCCGCCCCUUGUCAAUCAGUCACCAUAUAAUUUUGGAUUGGUUGUUGUGGUGAAGUUUUCCACCAAUAGGAGAGAUGUUGUGGUGUGUAUUUUUUUUCCUUUGGCAAGCCUUUUCCGCCUGUAAGACCUGUCGCUAAUGUCUGCAUGCUAUGUUUUCCUGUCUCAUACAGCGCGAUCGAGCGCCGAACGUGAUCAAAAUAAGCAGAAAACAAGUAUCGCGGACAUAAUUUAUCAUAACUCUGGUUUUAUUUGGCCUAUCAACACAAUUUAAAAACUGGUAUAUAGGUUGAGGUCCUCACUUUUGAGAUAAAUUGAAACGGAGAGUCAACGAGGCUCCGUCUUGCAGCUACAUCCGGUUAAAUAUGUCAUGUGACUUGAACGCACACACACACACACAGACACACACACACACGCACACACACACACUCAGAGUCUGGUUUGUAGCACCUGCAAAAACAUGCUAUUUACAUAUUUGACAAGAAUGCAGAGGCUCCUUUUGCCCCUGAAAAAAAUCAAAUUUCAAACACAACUUGACUGGUCAUUUCUCCAAAAGACAACCAUGAAGCUCCAUCCAAACCUGAAGCAGGCAGUUGGUGCAUGUGUACAGUAACCUGAGGGGAGUGAGGUGACUGCUUCUGAGGAGAACAUGAGCAGUGAAGAUUUACCUUAGAGCUAGAACAGAGACGUGCACAUGAUUAUACAGGGGCAGGGGCUCAAGUUUUUUCCAGUCGUUUAUACAAUUUGGAAAUUAAUGUGAAAUUAAAAAACAAAGUAUUAAUAGAAAGGUAAUGACUGUCCUGUGUAGGUGACAGUGAUAUCCAAUAGGCUAGGCACUCACGAGGCUGGCUGUGGCAAGUGUAAGUGAAAGCAACACGCACUGGCAGGAAGAACAGCAAACGCCGAUGAAGGAAAAGGGUCUUUGCAGUGAUGGGCGUUACCAAAGAGGGCGAUAGCCAGAGGACACAAAUGGGACGGGGAGGCAGCGCGUUGGGGGGGGGGACGCGACACAGCUCGGGCCCGCCAGUGCCCCAACGGGGUCCUAGUUCUUUCUUAGGGCCCGAGCGUAGCUGCUAAGCAGCUGCGAGAGCCCUCUUGUUCCUGUAGUUUCCUUCUUUUGUUAUUAGGGCCCGAGCGUAGCUGCUAAGCAGCUGCGAGAGCCCUCUUGUUCCUGAUGGAUUCUUUAGGGCCCGAGCCAGCUGCAGAGCAGCCGGGCGUAGAGCCCUAUUAUUCCUGUAUAGGUUUUUCUUUCUUCUUUCUUUCUUUCUUUCUUUCUUCUUAUUUUUCCUCCCCUUUGAAGGGGAAAAUGGCCCACUUCCCACUGGCGAAAACUCAUGAAAUUUGGCAGGACGACCGGGCCUGGUGAAAAUUUCGAUAUUCUGAAGUCGCCCAAACAAUAAAAUGCAAAAUGGCUCCAUAGCGCCCCCUAAGGCGAAAAUUCACACUAUUGACUGUCACGCCUGUACGCUUUGUCAUAUUGACACAAAAAUUGACACACACGUGUAUCUCAAUACGGUCUACGAAAAAGUCAGCGUGGGCGCAUCUGUGAAAUGUACGGUUAGAGGGUUAUUUCGCAUUUUUUGCCGAUCUGCACACAUUGGAAUUUCGCUAACUCCUCCGAAGGCAUUCGUUCCACCAGCACCACAUUUGCUCAGGCCAAUCUACACCCCAUGGCCAUUAAAAGUUGUACAAAUCAUGACGCUGCACCCCACGGUUUACGUUCUAGGGGGCGCCAAAGAUAACCCAAAAAUCCACAGUCUUAAAAGUCUUAGAACUUUUUAUUUUUGUCCUCACUGGCCUCCAAGUUCUCUAGGAUGAUGCAAUGUCCAGCCAUCAACACAUUUGUGAAGGAAUUUUUACUCACCAAAAGAGCGCCCCCACAUGGCAGGAGAAAAAAGUCCAAUUUUUCUUGUCCCCUAAGGUGAAAAUACACAUUGUUGAGUGUCACGCCUAUACGCUUUGUUAUAUUGACCCAAAAUUUGACAAUCACGUGUAUCUCAAUAAGAUCUAUGAAAAAGUCAAUGGGCACGUAUCUGUAAAAUGUACGGUUAAAGGGUUAUUUCGCAUUUUUUCCCGAUCCGCACACAUUGGAAUUUCGCUAACUCCUCCGAAGGCUUUAGUUCCACCGCCACCAAAUUUGCUCAGGCCAAUCUACACCCCAUGGCCAUUAAAAGUUGUACAAAUCAUGACGCUGCACUCCACGGUUUAGGUUCUAGGGGGCGCCAAAGAUAACCCAAAAAUCCACAUUCUUAAUAGUCUUAUAACUUUUUAUUUUUGUCCUCACUGGCCUCCAAGUUUUCUAGGAUGAUGCAAUGUCCAGCCAUCAACACAUUUGUAAAGGAAUUUUUACUCCCGUAAAGAGCGCCCCCCCCAUGGCAGGAGAAAAAAGUCCAUUUUUUCUUGUCCCCUAAGGUGAAAAAACACAUUGUUGACUGUCACGCCUAUACGCUUUGUCAAAAUGACACAAAAUUUGACACACACGUGUAUCUCAAUAAGAUCUACGAAAAAGUCAAUGGGCACGUAUCUGUAAAAUGUACGGUUAAAGGGCUAUUUCGCAUUUUUUGCCGAUUCGCACACAUUGGAAUGUGGCUAACUCCUCCUAAGGCUUUCUUCCCACCGACACCAAAUUUGUUCAAGCCGAUCUACAUCCCAUGGCCAUUCAAAGUUGUAAAAAUCAUGCCGCUGCACCCCAUGGUUUACGUUCUAGGGGGCGCCAAAGAUGACCCAAAUAUCCACAUUCUUAAAAGAAUCCACAUCCCCCCCCCAAGGCAGGAGAAAAAGUCCAGUUAACCCUGCCCAUCGCUCAAUGGCUCAAUCGCAUCGCUCUCCUGGCAACACCGUAAGGAGGAGCAACUUGCCAUUUGGAUAUAUCCUAGCUGUGUUUGUGCCCUCACUCAUGGUCCAGACUUUUUUCAAAUAGGACAUGUAGUUUGUCUGCAGCGACCGUUUUGGUAGAAACUGCACCUCCCAUUCAUUAUAAUGGGAAAUGACCACAGACAAGUGCGCACACCAUCUUUGGACCUUGAGUGUGAUGCGAUCGGGAGGGGGAGGCGGUCGCGCUGGGGGCGGCGCGACGCGGCUCGGGCCCGACAGUGCCCCACCGGGGCCCUAGUCUUUCGUUAUUUUUCCUCCGCUUUAAACUGGAAAAUGGCCCACUUCCCACUGACGAAAACUCAGGAAAUUUGGCAGGACGACCGGGCCUGGUGAAAAAUUUGAUAUUCUGAAGUCGCUCAAACAAAAAAAUGAAAAAUGGCUCCAUAGCGCCCCCUAUGGUGAAAACUCACCUGACACCUGUACGCUUUGUCAAAAUGACACAAAAUUUGACACACAUGUGUAUCUCAAUAAGAUCUACAAAAAAGUCAGUGUGGGCGUAUCUGUCAAAUGUACGGUUAAAGGGCUAUUUCGCUUUUUUUGCCGAUCCGCACACAUAGGAAUUUCGCUAACUCCUCCGAAGGCUUUCGUUCCACCGGCACCAAAUUUGCUCAGGCCAAUCUACACCCCAUGACCAUUAAAAGUUGUACAAAUCAUGACGCUGCACCCCACGGUUUAGGUUCUAGGGGGCGCCAAAGAUAACCCAAAAAUCCACAUUCUUAAAAGUCUUAUAACUUUUUAUUUUUGUCCUCACUGGCCUCCAAGUUUUCUAGGAUGAUGCAAUGUCCAGCCAUCAACACAUUUGUGAAGGAAUUUUAACUCUCCAAAAGAGCGCCCCCCCAUGGCAGGAGAAAAAAGUCAAUUUUUUCUUAUCCCGAAAGGUGAAAAUACACGUUGUUGACUGUCACGCCUUUACGCUUUGUCAUAUUGACAAAAAAUUUGACAAUCACAUGUAUCUCAAUAAGAUCUAUGAAAAAGUCAAUGGGCACGUAAGUGUAAAAUGUACGGUUAAAGGGCUAUUUUGCAUUUUUUGCCGAUUCGCACACAUUGGAAUUUCGCUAACUCCUCCUAAGGCUUUCGUCCCACUGACACCAAAUUUGCUCAGGCCAAUCUACACUCCAUGGCCAUUCAAAGUUGUAAAAAUCAUGACGCUGCACCCCACGGUUUACGUUUUAGGGGGCGCCAAAGAUGACCCAAAUAUACAUUACAGCAGACAAAGUAGUUUUGCCCACUGAGUGGCGCCAAAGGGACUAGUCUGUGGAGUCUGUGAGUCACUAUUGGCCUUUUUUGACUACUUUAGAUUUUACCUUUAUAUUUCCUCUUAAAAUUUUUUUACCUUGCCUUGCCUGGUAUCAUUUUUUUCAGCACAACCUCACCUGUGUGAAUUUACAGUUAUUUUAUCAUUUUGACAUACUGUAUUUACACAAUGGACCCAAAUUCACACACAAAACAUAAAAUCCGAGUGGAAAAAAGUAACAUUUUUACUGUGAAAACCACAAAUAUGUGUGAUGAACUGUUUUUAAAACUUAAACUUCAAAUAAAAAUUGUAAACUUCAAAACAUAUGCAAAUUUUUAACAAAGAACAUAGUAAUUUACCUCUAUUUACAUCAAAAUGCAGGCAAUGGCCCAGGCGUUCUUUGUAAAAUUAUUUACAAAACACUGUAUAGUCUCACAAAUGUCACUUUUUAUUUAUGCCACUACAAAAAAACAUGAUGUAAAUGAUGCAUGAUGUAAAACAUGAUGUAAAAAACUUGUGUAAAUCCUCCUCUAUGUCAGUCCAUGUGUAAUUUUUCCAUAAUUCUUUGUUUUUUGCAGCUUUUUUGUUAGUGUAACUGCAGAUUGUGCUGACAGUGUCUAUGGCAAAAAAAAAAAAAAAAAAAUGAAAAUGCCUCAACAUGAACCCCUGGUGGUCUCUGAGGGUGAAACCUGCUAACUGCUGCAGCUCUGUCAGCUUCAGUCUCCCAUGCAGAGCUCGGAGCUCAUGUGUGUCUCUGCACCCUUAGCAGCGUUGCUAACUCCUCAGUAAGGAAAGCCUGCUUCAUGUCAGAGUUUCUAAACUCCAGAAGAAGUCGAUAAAAGUCCCUUUCUUUCUAAAAAAAAAGUCGUUAGGGGGUCUGAAAAGUCAUUGAAUCUACAACAAAGUCGCUAGGUUUGCAACUACGUGUCCCAGACUGCAUCCCUGCUGAGAGUCCCUCCCUCCCUUCUCAUAUUGCAGGAAGAACGUAAGCGCCCGCCCCUUGUCAAUCAGUCACCAUAUAAUUUUGGAUUGGUUGUUGUGGUGAAGUUUUCCACCAAUAGGAGAGAUGUUGUGGUGUGUUUUUUUUUUUCUUUUGGCAAGCCUUUUCCGCCUGUAAGAGCUGUCGCUAAUGUCUGCAUGCUAUGUUUUCCUGUCUCAUACAGCGCGAUCGAGCGCCGAACGUGAUCAAAAUAAGCAGAAAAAAAGUAUCGCGGACAUAAUUUAUCAUAACUCUGGUUUUAUUUGGCCUAUCAACACAAUUUAAAAACUGGUAUAUAGUUUGAGGUCCUCACUUUUUAGAUUAGUUGAAACGGAUGCUGCGUCCGAACUGCCCGCUCGGAUACUACAUGCUACUGCUACGUGCUACUGCUAGAUCCUACUCCUACAUACUAAAAACGUUGGCCCUAUUCGGACACACUACACGAGCGGUGGGGAAAGACGACCCCCGCAGGCAGAGAGUAGGUACUGCGCCCGUGCAGACAGUGGUAACUGAAGCCCCUCAUCUGCGGGCCUGGCUGUAGUACUGCAGCUGUGCAGUUUCAUGAUGGAAUAAGUGAGCUUUACCUCCAUGAUGUCGCCACUUGCUCAUGAAAUGAUUCGGGAGGGGGAAGCGGUUGCGCUGGGGGCGGCGCAACGCGGCUCGGGCCCGACAGUGCCCCACCGGGGCCCUAGUUAGGGCCCGAGCGUAGCUGCUAAGCAGCUGCGAGAGCCCUCUUGUUCCUGAUGGAUUCUUCUUUUGUUAUUAUUAUUAUUUUUCCUCCGCUUUAAACUGGAAAAUGGCCGACUUCCCACUGGCGAAAACUCAUGAAAUUUGGCAGGACGACCGGGCCUGGUGAAAAAUUCGAUAUUCUGAAGUCGCCCAAACAAUAAAAUGCAAAAUGGCUCCAUAGCGCCCCCUAAGGCGAAAAUUCACACUAUUGACUGUCACGCCUGUACGCUUUGUCAUAUUGACACAAAAAUUGACACACACGUGUAUCUCAAUACGUUCUACGAAAAAGUCAGCGCGGGCGCAUCUGUGAAAUGUACAGUUAGAGGGUUAUUUCGCAUUUUUUGCCGAUCUGCACACAUUGGAAUUUCGCUAACUCCUCCGAAGGCAUUCGUUCCACCGGCACCACAUUUGCUCAGGCCAAUCUACACCCCAUGGCCAUUAAAAGUUGUACAAAUCAUUACGCUGCACCCCACAGUUUACGUUCUAGGGGGCGCCAAAGAUAACCCAAAAAUCCACAUAUUUAAAAGUCUUAUAACUUUUUAUUUUUGUCCUCACUGGCCUCCAAGUUUUCUAGGAUGAUGCAAUGUCCAGCCAUCAACACAUUUGUGAAGGAAUUUUUACUCCCCAAAAGAGCGCCCCCACAUGGCAGGAGAAAAAAGUCCAUUUUUUCUUGUCCCCUAAGGUGAAAAUACACAUUGUUGAGUGUCACGCCUAUACGCUUUGUCAUAUUGACCCAAAAUUUGACAAUCACGUGUAUCUCAAUAAGAUCUACGAAAAAGUCAAUGGGCACGUAUCUGUAAAAUGUAUGGUUAAAGGGCUAUUUCGCAUUUUUUGCAGAUUCGCACACAUUGGAAUGUGGCUAACUCCUCCUAAGGCUUUCUUCCCACCGACACCAAAUUUGCUCAAGCCGAUCUACAUCCCAUGGCCAUUCAAAGUUGUAAAAAUCAUGCCGCUGCACCCCAUGGUUUACGUUCUAGGGGGCGCCAAAGAUGACCCAAAUAUCCACAUUCUUAAAAGUCGUUUUGGCCACUGCAGGAGUACAGAGUACUGCAGGAUACACACACACAGACACACACAAACACACACACACACACACACGCACACACACACACACACACACACACACACACACACACACACACACACACACACACACUCAGAGUCUGUUUUUUAGCACCUGCAAAAACAUGCUAUUUACAUAUUUGACAACAAUGCAGAGGCUCCUUUUGCCCCUGAAAAAAAUCAAAUUUCAAACACAACUUGACUGGUCAUUUCUCCAAAAGACAACCAUGAAGCUCCAUCCAAACCUGAAGCAGGCAGUUGGUGCAUGUGUACAGUUACCUGAGGGGAGUGAGGUGAGUGCUUCUGAGGAGAACAUGAGCAGUGAAGAUUCACCUUGGAGCGAGAACAGGGACGUGCACAUGAUUAUACAGGGGCAGGGGCUCAAGUUUUUUCCAGUCGUUUAUACAAUAUGGAAAUUAAUGUGAAAUUAAAAAACAAAGUAUUAAUAGAAAGGUAAUGACUGUCCUGUGUAGGUGACAGUGAUAUCCAAUAGGCUAGGCACUCACGAGGCUGGCUGUGGCAAGUGUAAGUGAAAGCAACACGCACUGGCAGGAAGAGCAGCAAACGCCGAUGAAGGAAAAGGGUCUUUGCAGUGAUGGGCGUUACCAGAGAGGACGAUGGCCAGAGGACGCGAAUGGGACGGGGAGGAAGCGCAUUGGUGGGGGGGGGGGGGGCGCGACACAGCUCGGGCCCGCCAGUGCCCCAACGGGGCCCUAGUCUUCUUCUUCUUCUUCUUAUUAGGGCCCGAGCCAGCUGCAGAGCAGCCGGGCGUAGAGCCCUAUUAUUCCUGUAUAGGUUUUCUUUCUUCUUUCUUUCUUUCUUUCUUUCUUUCUUCUUAUUUUUCCUCCCCUUUGAAGGGGAAAAUGGCCCACUUCCCACUGGCGAAAACUCAGGAAAUUUGGCAGGACGACCGGGCCUGGUGAAAAAUUCGAUAUUCUGAAGUCGCCCAAACAAUAAAAUGCAAAAUGGCUCCAUAGCGCCCCCUAAGGCGAAAAUUCACACUAUUGACUGUCACGCCUGUACGCUUUGUCAUUUUGACACAAAAAUUGACACACACGUGUAUCUCAAUACGGUCUACGAAAAAGUCAGUGCGGGCGCAUCUGUGAAAUGUACGGUUAGAGGGUUAUUUCGCAUUUUUUCCCGAUCCGCACACAUUGGAAUUUCGCUAACUCCUCCGAAGGCUUUAGUUCCACCGCCACCAAAUUUGCUCAGGCCAAUCUACACCCCAUGGCCAUUAAAAGUUGUACAAAUCAUGACGCUGCACUCCACGGUUUACGUUCUAGGGGGCGCCAAAGAUAACCCAAAAAUCCACAUUCUUAAUAGUCUUAUAACUUUUUAUUUUUGUCCUCACUGGCCUCCAAGUUUUCUAGGAUGAUGCAAUGUCCAGCCAUCAACACAUUUGUAAAGGAAUUUUUACUCCCGAAAAGGGCGCCCCCCCAUGGCAGGAGAAAAAAGUCAAUUUUUUCUUGUCCCCUAAGGUGAAAAAACACAUUGUUGACUGUCACGCCUAUACGCUUUGUCAAAAUGACACAAAAUUUGACACACACGUGUAUCUCAAUAAGAUCUACGAAAAAGUCAAUGGGCACGUAUCUGUAAAAUGUACGGUUAAAGGGCUAUUUCGCAUUUUUUGCCGAUUCGCACACAUUGGAAUGUGGCUAACUCCUCCUAAGGCUUUCUUCCCACCGACACCAAAUUUGCUCAAGCCGAUCUACAUCCCAUGGCCAUUCAAAGUUGUAAAAAUCAUGCCGCUGCACCCCAUGGUUUACGUUCUUGGGGGCGCCAAAGAUGACCCAAAUAUCCACAUUCUUAAAAGAAUCCACAUCCCCCCCCCCCCCCCCCCAAGGCAGGAGAAAAAGUCCAGUUAACCCUGCCCAUCGCUCAAUGGCUCAAUCGCAUCGCUCUCCCGGCAACACCGUAAGGAGGAGCAACUUGCCAUUUGGAUAUAUCCUAGCUGUGUUUGUGCCCUCACUCAUGGUCCAGACUUUUUUCAAAUAGGACAUGUAGUUUGUCUGCAGCGGCCGUUUUGGUAGAAACUGCGCCUCCCAUUCAUUAUAAUGGGAAAUGACCACAGACAAGUGCGCACACCAUCUUUGGACCUUGAGUGUGAUGCAAUCGGGAGGGGGAGGCGGUCGCGCUGGGGGCGGCGCGACGCGGCUCGGGCCCGACAGUGCCCCACCGGGGCCCUAGUUAUUAUUUUUCUGCCCCUUUGAACUGGAAAAUGGCCCACUUCCCACUGGUGAAAACUCAUGAAAUUUGGCAGGACGACCUGGCCUGGUGAAAAAUUCGAUAUUCUGAAGUCACCCAAACAAUCACAUGCAAAAUGGCUCCAUAGCGCCCCCUAAGGUGAAAAAUUCACAUGAUUGAGUGUCACGCCUGUACGCUUUGUCAAAAUGACACAAAAUUUGACACACACGUGUAUCUCAAUAAGAUCUACAAAAAAGUCAGUGCGGGCGUAUCUGUCAAAUGUACGUUUAAAGGGCUAUUUCGCAUUUUUUGCCGAUCCGCACACAUUGGAAUUUCGCUAACUCCUCCGAAGGCUUUCGUUCCACCGGCACCAAAUUUGCUCAGGCC
Molecule: long non-coding RNA, 29091 nt
Filed under: Xyrichtys novacula (pearly razorfish)
Lineage: Eukaryota; Metazoa; Chordata; Actinopteri; Labriformes; Labridae
Source: RNAcentral